UACGUAGGGUGCAAGCGUUAUCCGGAAUUAUUGGGCGUAAAGAGCUCGUAGGCGGUUUGUCACGUCUGCCGUGAAAACUGGAGGCUCAACCUCCAGCCUGCAGUGGGUACGGGCAGACUAGAGUGCGGUAGGGGAGAUUGGAAUUCCUGGUGUAGCGGUGGAAUGCGCAGAUAUCAGGAGGAACACCGAUGGCGAAGGCAGAUCUCUGGGCCGUAACUGACGCUGAGGAGCGAAAGCAUGGGGAGCGAACAGG
This 253-nucleotide ribosomal RNA is filed under the name uncultured bacterium. Its description in RNAcentral is "partial 16S ribosomal RNA". It matches the Rfam family "Bacterial small subunit ribosomal RNA", at positions 524 to 776 of the family's 1533-position model. The record is from RNAcentral.